RNAcentral lists this long non-coding RNA (924 nucleotides) under Rattus norvegicus (Norway rat). RNAcentral describes it as "long non-coding RNA NONRATT008238". The record is from RNAcentral. Lineage: Eukaryota; Metazoa; Chordata; Mammalia; Rodentia; Muridae.
CCUCUGCCUCCAUGGCUUCCUUCCUGCUGUCAUCUGCUCCCAACCACUCUCCGGGGAAAACCCAGCCUCUCUGCUUUGCUUCUGUGACUGACUUCAGAGCAUCCUCUGGGUACCCAUGAAGUAUCAAAGAAAGAGCAGAGGAGAGACAAAGAGCUGUGUCUGGUUCAAGAAAACCUACCUGCCAUCUCUCCCUCCCCGGCUUGUAUUUCUUUGCAGAGCCCUAGAUUGCUUACCGGGUCCCAGGAACAGACUGGGCUGUCACCACUUCAACCCUCAUCCUCAUCUCUUCAACACAGUUUUCAGGGAGCCCACGAUCUAUCUCAGGGAUGAACUACAUACCCGAGAAAGCCAGGCCAACCCUGAGUCUUCCUUGCUCCAGUUUGGACUGCCUGUGGGGAGGCAGGUGGAAUGCUAUUCCUCCUGUUUGGUCUUCAGCCCCUAGAUUGCUGCAUGGUACAGUCCUCUGUGAAAACCCCAAGGAGUUGGAGGAGUGACUGCCCUCUUGCUUCCUGGCAUCUCUCUGAAGAAUGCGCAGUGUCGAAAGCCCGUGAUCCACACUUGGACAGUGAAGACUGGAGAAUCAGGAGUUCUGGACCGGCCUUGGCGAUAUGGCACCCUAGCUCGAAUACUAAACACACAAAAUGAAUGUGAUGCUCCCACUGAGGCUAACAUUCUGAGUGUCUGCUUCUUUAGUCUUGGGGUGAUGGCUUGCAGUUUUCUAAGUCCCCUAAAAGCUCAGCACUGCCCAAGGUAGGCUUCUAAAGUAUCCAAUGCUACCAUGAGCUCAGAGCCUGUCUGGAAGGGAGUGAGGGAGGAAACUGCACAGCCCUAUGGGCACCCUCCCUCUACAGUCACCCCAACCCCGUUCUAGAGGGCACAGGCUCUGGAAAAGCUAAAUAAAUAAAUAACCUCUUGGAUACCCAA